RNAcentral lists this long non-coding RNA (746 nucleotides) under Mustela putorius furo (domestic ferret). RNAcentral's name for it is "lncRNA (ENSMPUG00000025282.1)". Lineage: Eukaryota; Metazoa; Chordata; Mammalia; Carnivora; Mustelidae. The record is from RNAcentral.
UAGCGUUUCCUGUUCUAGAACUUCAUUUGUCACAGAAUGUGGACUCUUGUGUUAAGUCUUCCUUCAUGGUGGGGUGCAGGUGCUGCCACCUGCAUUGUUGCAGGUUCUUGCUGGGUGCUAGGGCGUUGUGUGAGCGGACCACAGUUGCCUGUUCUGUUGGUGGCAGUUUGGGCACUCUCUGGGUCUGUUGGCCACACCGGUGUGGGGGCAGUGGCUGAUGCGGCCAUGCUGUAUUUGCAGAGGCACAUUGCGUUUCACUUCCAGUCCCAUGUUGCGCACAGUUGUGCCUUGUCUUGAGUGCAGCCUGGGUUUCUUUAAAGUGGAGGGAGAACGGAGAUGCACACGAAGUAUUCUGACUGUGGAGGACACUAUUGCCCAUUGGUGAGUGCACCCGAUCUCUGGCCUUUUCUUCCCUCCCCAGAGGUGAGGGGUACAGUGGAAUUGAAAGUUUCCACCCUCUAAGCAUGGUGUGGUUUUUCCAGUAGCUGGCCCGCAUCGUGAAGCAUAGACACACUCCCUGCUCGGGAGAUUCCAGGGGUUUUAGGAGCUCUUGCCUGGAGCCAGGACAAAGACCAGAUAAUUUUUAUGUCAAUACAGAUGUCUGUCUAGUGAGGAGAGGUCCUCAGAUGCUGUGGAAUGGAAUUGGAAGGACUUGGCUUGCAUUCAUCACCGAGGACCCCAGCGGGUGGUGCCGUUGCUUCUUGUCUGGGCCUUGCUGUGGCUUGUAGGAUGACAGAGUUAUUCGG